Rhagoletis pomonella (apple maggot) is the source of this 779-nucleotide long non-coding RNA. RefSeq lists it as uncharacterized. Lineage: Eukaryota; Metazoa; Arthropoda; Insecta; Diptera; Tephritidae. The transcript is spliced from 3 exons. The record is from RefSeq and is a predicted model, not a curated record.
CGUUGCGAGGAUAAGUCGCUGAACGCGGAAAGUGAACUCAACCAACGCAGCGAACAGUGGAGGCAAACUAAGCUGAACUGAACUGAACUGGACUGUGCCAGGCAGUGUAGCAGCAGCAACAACACUUUAUAUGUGAGCCAAUAUUCUGUGCAGUGUACCUGUUAGUGUAGUGUGACUGUAUUGGUGUGCUGCCAAUGACGGGCGACAGGUGUUGGUGAUAUGCGAUUAACGGGACAUAUAUAUAUAUAUAUAUACAAUACAUGUUCAGAUAUAAAAUUGUACUUCUUUGAAAGUUUUGUUAGUGUUGGUGCAAUGUGUGGCGAGUGACUAAGUGUUGUGAGAUAAUGAACGAUAAUAAACCGCCUACAGCUAUUGAAAUUAAGUUGAAGAAACAGUGAAAUAAAGUUGCGUAUAUACAUACAUACAUACGUUUGUAAAAACAGUGAGCAAUGCUUAUAAGGUUUCUCGUGAACUAAGCUAAGAAGUGAAAAACUUAAAAAAAUAGCUGAGUACUUUAGUGUAUAGCAGAAAUAAAUGACCUAUUAAAGAUUUUAAGAUACUAAAAAUAAUGAAUAAAAAUAUUGUUGUGGAAUAUGAAGAUAUACUAAAUACUGUUGAUUGUUGUUAAAAGUGAAAUUUUUAAAAUUACUGUUAGAAAUAGAAAUAAUGGACACAUAUCGGAAGAGUGAUUAUUUGUGUGAACGCUGGUCAAUAAGAAUUUCGAAUAAGCAUUAUCAUGAAAUGUAAUGAAAUACAUACAAAUCACAGCGUAGCAAAAC